RNAcentral lists this long non-coding RNA (724 nucleotides) under Theobroma cacao (cacao). RNAcentral describes it as "long non-coding RNA (TCAC_LNC002584)". The record is from RNAcentral. Lineage: Eukaryota; Viridiplantae; Streptophyta; Magnoliopsida; Malvales; Malvaceae.
GCAAGACACAAGCCUUUUAUCAUAAAAAGAGAAUGUGUUAUAUUAUAAAAAAUCUUAAAAUUUACAAUUGGAAGAAAGUUGCAUUGAAAAAGCUUGAAGUUAUAUGAAAAAUUUAAGUACAUUUGUGAUUGAUAAAAUUGCAUUAUUUUUGUAAUCUUAAGCGUAGAUACAUACCAAAGUAAAUAAACACAUAUAAGUUAUAAAAAUCGAUAUUAGAACACCAGGAUAAAAAAAGAAUAAAGGAGUUCAUGCACAAGUAGAAGCAAAUAAAACUAGCAUUACUGUAAUAUUUAUCGUCUAGGAGCAUGAUUUACGCUUGUAUAUACCGCAACGUUCAGGUCUAAUCGGUUGGUUUUUAGGUGGCAGACACGACCGAUAUGCGUUUCCCCUGUUGCAAUUCACGAUUGGCUGCAUACGAAUGUUGGAGCGAGAAACCAGAUAUCUGUAGUCCAAAAGCAAUCUACCAAUAUCGGAAUCCAUUAAGAACUCCGAUUCCAUGUUGAUUUCAGCAAUGGUGGCAGUGGCAUUGAUCUUCUCUUUCAGUGAAGCAAAGCUGGCUGCUUGAGAAGAGCAUGUAUCGAGCAGAAUCAUAAGGGCAAUAAGGGUUGCUAAAGAGAUACCUCUCCCCAAAUUUAUUUCCAUGCUUCUUUGUUUUCACUAGGAAAAUUUCAAAGUCCCCAGGAAAAUGUCUUAUAGCCAAAAAGUUUUAGUGUCCGGAUGGGCA